RNAcentral lists this ribosomal RNA (586 nucleotides) under Salmonella enterica subsp. enterica serovar Kentucky. RNAcentral's name for it is "partial 23S ribosomal RNA". It matches the Rfam family "Bacterial large subunit ribosomal RNA", at positions 911 to 1499 of the family's 2925-position model. The record is from RNAcentral. Lineage: Bacteria; Pseudomonadati; Pseudomonadota; Gammaproteobacteria; Enterobacterales; Enterobacteriaceae.
UGUUUCGGCUAGGGGGCCAUCCCGGCUUACCAACCCGAUGCAAACUGCGAAUACCGGAGAAUGUUAUCACGGGAGACACACGGCGGGUGCUAACGUCCGUCGUGAAGAGGGAAACAACCCAGACCGCCAGCUAAGGUCCCAAAGUCAUGGUUAAGUGGGAAACGAUGUGGGAAGGCCCAGACAGCCAGGAUGUUGGCUUAGAAGCAGCCAUCAUUUAAAGAAAGCGUAAUAGCUCACUGGUCGAGUCGGCCUGCGCGGAAGAUGUAACGGGGCUAAACCAUGCACCGAAGCUGCGGCAGCGACACUGUGUGUUGUUGGGUAGGGGAGCGUUCUGUAAGCCUGCGAAGGUGUCCCGUGAGGGAUGCUGGAGGUAUCAGAAGUGCGAAUGCUGACAUAAGUAACGAUAAAGCGGGUGAAAAGCCCGCUCGCCGGAAGACCAAGGGUUCCUGUCCAACGUUAAUCGGGGCAGGGUGAGUCGACCCCUAAGGCGAGGCCGAAAGGCGUAGUCGAUGGGAAACGGGUUAAUAUUCCCGUACUUGGUGUUACUGCGAAGGGGGGACGGAGAAGGCUAUGUUGGCCGGGCGAC